UUUUACGGAGAGUUUGAUCCUGGCUCAGGACGAACGCUGGCGGCGUGCUUAACACAUGCAAGUCGAACGAUGAUGCCCAGCUUGCUGGGUGGAUUAGUGGCGAACGGGUGAGUAACACGUGAGUAACCUGCCCCUGACUCUGGGAUAAGCGUUGGAAACGACGUCUAAUACUGGAUAUGACUGCCGGCCGCAUGGUCUGGUGGUGGAAAGAUUUUUUGGUUGGGGAUGGACUCGCGGCCUAUCAGCUUGUUGGUGAGGUAAUGGCUCACCAAGGCGACGACGGGUAGCCGGCCUGAGAGGGUGACCGGCCACACUGGGACUGAGACACGGCCCAGACUCCUACGGGAGGCAGCAGUGGGGAAUAUUGCACAAUGGGCGAAAGCCUGAUGCAGCAACGCCGCGUGAGGGAUGACGGCCUUCGGGUUGUAAACCUCUUUUAGUAGGGAAGAAGGGAGCUUGCUCUUGACGGUACCUGCAGAAAAAGCACCGGCUAACUACGUGCCAGCAGCCGCGGUAAUACGUAGGGUGCAAGCGUUGUCCGGAAUUAUUGGGCGUAAAGAGCUCGUAGGCGGUUUGUCGCGUCUGCUGUGAAAUCCCGAGGCUCAACCUCGGGCUUGCAGUGGGUACGGGCAGACUAGAGUGCGGUAGGGGAGAUUGGAAUUCCUGGUGUAGCGGUGGAAUGCGCAGAUAUCAGGAGGAACACCGAUGGCGAAGGCAGAUCUCUGGGCCGUAACUGACGCUGAGGAGCGAAAGCAUGGGGAGCGAACAGGAUUAGAUACCCUGGUAGUCCAUGCCGUAAACGUUGGGCGCUAGAUGUAGGGACCUUUCCACGGUUUCUGUGUCGUAGCUAACGCAUUAAGCGCCCCGCCUGGGGAGUACGGCCGCAAGGCUAAAACUCAAAGGAAUUGACGGGGGCCCGCACAAGCGGCGGAGCAUGCGGAUUAAUUCGAUGCAACGCGAAGAACCUUACCAAGGCUUGACAUACACCGGAAACGGCCAGAGAUGGUCGCCCCCUUGUGGUCGGUGUACAGGUGGUGCAUGGUUGUCGUCAGCUCGUGUCGUGAGAUGUUGGGUUAAGUCCCGCAACGAGCGCAACCCUCGUUCUAUGUUGCCAGCGCGUUAUGGCGGGGACUCAUAGGAGACUGCCGGGGUCAACUCGGAGGAAGGUGGGGAUGACGUCAAAUCAUCAUGCCCCUUAUGUCUUGGGCUUCACGCAUGCUACAAUGGCCGGUACAAAGGGCUGCGAUACCGUAAGGUGGAGCGAAUCCCAAAAAGCCGGUCUCAGUUCGGAUUGAGGUCUGCAACUCGACCUCAUGAAGUCGGAGUCGCUAGUAAUCGCAGAUCAGCAACGCUGCGGUGAAUACGUUCCCGGGCCUUGUACACACCGCCCGUCAAGUCAUGAAAGUCGGUAACACCCGAAGCCGGUGGCCUAACCCUUGUGGAAGGAGCCGUCGAAGGUGGGAUCGGUGAUUAGGACUAAGUCGUAACAAGGUAGCCGUACCGGAAGGUGCGGCUGGAUCACCUCCUUUCUAAGGA
This 1536-nucleotide ribosomal RNA is filed under the name Curtobacterium sp. MCBA15_008. RNAcentral describes it as "bacterial SSU rRNA". It matches the Rfam family "Bacterial small subunit ribosomal RNA". Lineage: Bacteria; Bacillati; Actinomycetota; Actinomycetes; Micrococcales; Microbacteriaceae. The record is from RNAcentral.